AGCAGGCCAGGCAGUCGCGCAGGCAUGCCGAAAGGCCGUCUGUGAGGAAAGUCCGGGCUCCACAGGGCAAGGAUAACGGGUAACGCCCGCCGAAGGCGACUUCAGGAAAAGUGCAACAGAGAUAUACCGCUGGUGAGCGGCCGGUUGAAACUGGUACGCGCCAGCAAGGGUGGAAAGGCGAGGUAAGAGCUCACCCAUCCCCAUGGUAACAUGGGGAUGCUGUAAACUCUAUUCGGAGCAACACCGCGGACAGGACAUAUGGCCGGCCCGGCCGUCCUUAGGAGGUGGCUUGAGCGCGUUGGUAACAGCGCGUCGAGAUAGAUGACUGCUUAAUACAGAACCCGGCUUACAGACCUGCUCAA
Molecule: RNase P RNA, 362 nt
Filed under: human gut metagenome
Description: Bacterial RNase P class A
Rfam family: Bacterial RNase P class A
About the family: Ribonuclease P (RNase P) is a ubiquitous endoribonuclease, found in archaea, bacteria and eukarya as well as chloroplasts and mitochondria. Its best characterised activity is the generation of mature 5'-ends of tRNAs by cleaving the 5'-leader elements of precursor-tRNAs.
Source: RNAcentral